UACGUAGGGUGCAAGCGUUGUCCGGAAUUAUUGGGCGUAAAGAGCUCGUAGGCGGUCUGUCGCGUCUGCUGUGAAAACUCGGGGCUUAACCCCGGGCCUGCAGUGGGUACGGGCAGACUAGAGUGCGGUAUGGGAGACUGGAAUUCCUGGUGUAGCGGUGAAAUGCGCAGAUAUCAGGAGGAACACCGGUGGCGAAGGCGGGUCUCUGGGCCGUAACUGACGCUGAGGAGCGAAAGCGUGGGGAGCAAACAGG
This 253-nucleotide ribosomal RNA is filed under the name uncultured bacterium. Its description in RNAcentral is "partial 16S ribosomal RNA". It matches the Rfam family "Bacterial small subunit ribosomal RNA", at positions 524 to 776 of the family's 1533-position model. The record is from RNAcentral.